GAUGAACGCUAGCUACCGGCUUAACACAUGCAAGUCGAGGGGUAACGAGAGGGAAGCUUGCUUUCCUUGUCGACGACCGGCGCUCGGGUGAGUAACGCGUAUCCAACCUGCCCCCAACUAGGGAAUAACCUUGCGAAAGUAAGACUAAUACCCUAUACUUUCCUCAGAUGUCAUCUGACGAGGAAUAAAGAUUUAUCGGUUGUGGAUGGGGAUGCGUCUGAUUAGCUUGUUGGCGGGGUAACGGCCCACCAAGGCAACGAUCAGUAGGGGUUCUGGGAGGAAGGGCCGCGACAUUGGAACUGAGACAAGGGCCAAACGCCGACGGGAGGCAGCAGUGAGGAAGAUUGGUCAAUGGGCGGAAGCCUGAACCAGCCAAGUAGCGUGGAGGAUGACGGCCCUAUGGGUUGUAAACUGCUUUUAUACAGGAAUAAAGUUAGCCACGUGUGGUUAUUUGUAGGUACUGUAUGAAUAAGGACCGGCUAAUUCCGUGCCAGCCGCCGCGGUAA
This 506-nucleotide ribosomal RNA is filed under the name uncultured bacterium. RNAcentral describes it as "partial 16S ribosomal RNA". It matches the Rfam family "Bacterial small subunit ribosomal RNA", at positions 28 to 523 of the family's 1533-position model. The record is from RNAcentral.